Molecule: ribosomal RNA, 467 nt
Filed under: uncultured bacterium
Lineage: Bacteria
Description: partial 16S ribosomal RNA
Rfam family: Bacterial small subunit ribosomal RNA
Source: RNAcentral
ACGAACGCUGGCGGCGUGCUUAACACAUGCAAGUCGAACGGAAAGGCCCUGCUUUUGUGGGGUGCUCGAGUGGCGAACGGGUGAGUAACACGUGAGUAACCUGCCCUUGACUUUGGGAUAGCUUCAGGAAACUGGGGCUAAUACCGGAUAGGAGCUCCUGCUGCAUGGUGGGGGUUGGAAAGUUUCGGCGGUUGGGGAUGGACUCGCGGCUUAUCAGCUUGUUGGUGGGGUAGUGGCUUACCAAGGCUUUGACGGGUAGCCGGCCUGAGAGGGUGACCGGCCACAUUGGGACUGAGAUACGGCCCAGACUCCUACGGGAGGCAGCAGUGGGGAAUAUUGCACAAUGGGCGGAAGCCUGAUGCAGCAACGCCGCGUGCGGGAUGACGGCCUUCGGGUUGUAAACCGCUUUCGCCUGUGACGAAGCGUGAGUGACGGUAAUGGGUAAAGAAGCACCGGCUAACUACGUG